RNAcentral lists this ribosomal RNA (292 nucleotides) under uncultured bacterium. RNAcentral describes it as "partial 16S ribosomal RNA". It matches the Rfam family "Bacterial small subunit ribosomal RNA", at positions 505 to 796 of the family's 1533-position model. The record is from RNAcentral.
GUGCCAGCAGCCGCGGUAAUACGUAGGUGGCAAGCGUUGUCCGGAUUUACUGGGCGUAAAGGGAGCGUAGGCGGACUUUUAAGUGAGAUGUGAAAUACCCGAGCUCAACUUGGGUGCUGCAUUUCAAACUGGAAGUCUAGAGUGCAGGAGAGGAGAAGGGAAUUCCUAGUGUAGCGGUGAAAUGCGUAGAGAUUAGGAAGAACACCAGUGGCGAAGGCGCUUCUCUGGACUGUAACUGACGCUGAGGCUCGAAAGCGUGGGGAGCAAACAGGAUUAGAAACCCUCGUAGUCC